UGGGGAAUAUUGCACAAUGGAGGGAACUCUGAUGCAGCGACGCCGCGUGAACUAAGAAGGCUUUCGAGUCGUAAAGUUCUUUUAUAUGGGAAGAUAAUGACGGUACCAUAAGAAAAAGCCCCGGCUAACUACGUGCCAGCAGCCGCGGUAAUACGUAGGGGGCUAGCGUUGUCCGGAAUCACUGGGCGUAAAGGGUUCGCAGGCGGAAAUGCAAGUCAGGUGUAAAAGGCAGUAGCUUAACUACUGUAAGCAUUUGAAACUGCAUAUCUUGAGAAGAGUAGAGGUAAGUGGAAUUUUUAGUGUAGCGGUGAAAUGCGUAGAUAUUAAAAAGAAUACCGGUGGCGAAAGCGACUUACUGGGCUCAUUCUGACGCUGAGGAACGAAAGCGUGGGUAGCAAACAGG
RNAcentral lists this ribosomal RNA (403 nucleotides) under bacterium. RNAcentral's name for it is "partial 16S ribosomal RNA". It matches the Rfam family "Bacterial small subunit ribosomal RNA", at positions 355 to 776 of the family's 1533-position model. The record is from RNAcentral.